CGUCCCCUUCUUUAGAGAGAGAAGAGUGCGGACUUGGAGACACAAAAAGAGGUGAAAGCAGAGGAAUAGCUGUCGUUCCAACCACAUCAGAAGACUGCUGUAAGAAGGGGUUCUCGGGAACAAGGCCUAGAUGCAGAGCCGUGGGUGCUUGCUUCUGCAGUCUAGUGGGUGAUCUCGGGGACUCACUUUUCCCAAACAUGUUCACACUGUUCUCCAUCACGAUUCAGACUCAACGAUUAAGGGAAUGAGCAUAAAAGCAAAAACGAGAGAAGGAAAGAGGAAGAUGGAAAGAGUGAUGUAAAGAGGAGAUUAAAAGGGAGAGAGGUUUUGGUGUGUUGUCAAUGAGGGCGCAAAAGUAGCGUUCGGUUAUGGUGGAACAUGUGGAAGACAUAGGAAAGAGCUGUUACUUUGAAACGGUCAUUAACUAAACUAAAAAAAAGUUGCCUCCUUUGUUGUUGGCUUGUUGCUUUCUUCUUUUGGUUCUUCUACUUUCUCUACUCUAUACAUUAUGUUGUUGGCUUCGGUUACUUGCGCUUAGGAUCCUUUGGAUAAAAGGCCAAAAUUAAGGUCAACGUCUUUUAAGAUAGUUUUCGUUUGUUG
Arabidopsis thaliana (thale cress) is the source of this 600-nucleotide long non-coding RNA. RefSeq annotates it as other RNA. Lineage: Eukaryota; Viridiplantae; Streptophyta; Magnoliopsida; Brassicales; Brassicaceae. The transcript has a single exon. The record is from RefSeq.